This 253-nucleotide ribosomal RNA is filed under the name uncultured bacterium. Its description in RNAcentral is "partial 16S ribosomal RNA". It matches the Rfam family "Bacterial small subunit ribosomal RNA", at positions 524 to 776 of the family's 1533-position model. The record is from RNAcentral.
UACAGAGGGGGCAAGCGUUGUUCGGAAUUACUGGGCGUAAAGCGCACGUAGGCGGAUUGCUAAGUCAGGGGUGAAAUCCUGGAGCUCAACUCCAGAACUGCCUUUGAUACUGGCGACCUUGAGUCCGGGAGAGGUGAGUGGAACUGCGAGUGUAGAGGUGAAAUUCGUAGAUAUUCGCAAGAACACCAGUGGCGAAGGCGGCUCACUGGCCCGGUACUGACGCUGAGGUGCGAAAGCGUGGGGAGCAAACAGG